This 103-nucleotide microRNA precursor is filed under the name Marmota monax (woodchuck). The record is from RNAcentral. Lineage: Eukaryota; Metazoa; Chordata; Mammalia; Rodentia; Sciuridae.
AGUGGAAUUGCUGGGUCAUAUGGUAAUACUAUUAUUUACCGUUUGAAGAAAUGUGAGAUUGUUUUCCAAAGAGGUUGCACCAUUUUACAUUUCUAACUGCAGU